GUUGUUGUUGUUGUUUUUUUAAGUGAAAACGGAAUCUAGCACUGAUUGGCAGACCUCUGAAAAAAAAAAAACCAAAAAACAAUCAGCUCUAAUACCAAGAUUCCAUCCCGCUGUCAGGACAAAACAAAAUGUUAUUUUCUGUUAAAAUGCGUAAAGUGUAUUUCAAAAAA
This is a long non-coding RNA of Thalassophryne amazonica, 170 nucleotides long. RefSeq lists it as uncharacterized. The record is from RefSeq and is a predicted model, not a curated record. Lineage: Eukaryota; Metazoa; Chordata; Actinopteri; Batrachoidiformes; Batrachoididae. The transcript has 2 exons.